Molecule: unclassified non-coding RNA, 599 nt
Filed under: Hevea brasiliensis (rubber tree)
Lineage: Eukaryota; Viridiplantae; Streptophyta; Magnoliopsida; Malpighiales; Euphorbiaceae
Source: RNAcentral
UUCUCAGAGACUUAAAGCUAUGAAGCCAUGGUGGUAGUUCCCGAAUGUUACAAUCAUAAAAUUCCACAAUUUUACAUUCAGUAUCAGGGACGCCCGGUUGCAAAAACGUUUCAGGGUUGUCCUCAAAGAGCACCCAAUGUGGACCAUCAAAAAGUUUGCUGAACUUUCCAAUAGUCAAGCUUUCCAACUUUCUUAGGCCUUUCAUCAGCUCUUCCAUUGGAAAUAAAAAUGAUUCCGUGUCAUAAACCGUCAUGAAGUUUGCUGAGCUAAAGCAUCCACCCAAUUUAACCUCUCUGCAUCCAUUGAUUUCCAAGUGAGAUAUCACCGGUAGGCUUUGAAAUGAAACCACCAAUUGCCAACAUCUAAUAAUGUUAAGUUUUUGCAAUGAAGGCAGAUGGCUGGGUAAUUUUCCCAACAGUUUGGGACACCCAUCAAUGGAAAGCUUGCGCAGAUGAGAGAAUUCACAUCCACGAAUAUUCCACUCUUCCCAUUCUUCCAUGUAAUUGAAGGUCAGAGUCUCGAGAGCUGGAAAAGGAUUUGAAUUGCCCUUACUCUCCCCAUAAAACUCACGAUCAACCGUUUUUACAUUGGAAAACCCU